GGGUGCCUACGGGGGGCAGCAGUGGGGGAUAUUGCACAAUGGGGGAAACCCUGAUGCAGCGACGCCGCGUGGGCGAAGAAGUAUUUCGGUAUGUAAAGCCCUAUCAGCAGGGAAGAAGAAAUGACGGUACUUGAGUAAGAAGCACCGGCUAAAUACGUGCCAGCAGCCGCGGUAAUACGUAUGGUGCAAGCGUUAUCCGGAUUUACUGGGUGUAAAGGGAGCGCAGCCGGCACGGCAAGCCUGAUGUGAAAGCCCGCGGCCCAACCGCGGGACUGCCUUGGGAACUCCCGGGCUGGAGGGCCGGG
RNAcentral lists this ribosomal RNA (305 nucleotides) under uncultured bacterium. Its description in RNAcentral is "bacterial SSU rRNA". It matches the Rfam family "Bacterial small subunit ribosomal RNA", at positions 333 to 653 of the family's 1533-position model. The record is from RNAcentral.